UACAGAGGGGGCAAGCGUUGUUCGGAAUUACUGGGCGUAAAGGGCGCGUAGGCGGCCUUCUAAGUCAUGCGUGAAAUCCCCGGGCUCAACCCGGGAACUGCGUCUGAUACUGGAAGGCUUGAAUCCGGGAGAGGGAUGCGGAAUUCCAGGUGUAGCGGUGAAAUGCGUAGAUAUCUGGAGGAACACCGGUGGCGAAGGCGGCGUUCUGGACUGUUUCUGACACUGAAUAACGAAAGCCAGGGGAGCAAACGGG
This 253-nucleotide ribosomal RNA is filed under the name uncultured bacterium. Its description in RNAcentral is "partial 16S ribosomal RNA". It matches the Rfam family "Bacterial small subunit ribosomal RNA", at positions 524 to 776 of the family's 1533-position model. The record is from RNAcentral.